UUUCACUUUUGUCUUCUUGAUAUAUGGAGAGCCACAGACCUAAAACCCAGUGUCCUGAUUAUGCCUCUGCCUGAUUCCAUCUGCUCUUGCCAGAUGGAGUGUUCUUAAUCCACAUAUAAUUUUAGAGACAGGAGAGGCUGCCACAGGGACCGGGCACCCCUCACCAGCGGACAGGGAGCCUGCCCUUCCUUCCUCCCAGCUAUGGCCAGAGCUGGCCUGCCGGAGGAGACAUGCCAAGGAGAGUACAGAGCACAGCCUUUCCAGGAUUCUCAGCCUCAGUGCUGACCUUGGAGGUGGUUCAAAUGGGUAGCCGCUGACCGGGAAGAAGUUCAGGGCUGGCAGUCCACUGAGACGGGCCCUGACAGGGACUACGGCUGAAGAGGAACCCAGCCCAGGUGCUCCCUCAGGGAAGUGCUCCCCGCCUCCAGCCUCAGGCCUUGUUCUUGAUCCUCUUGACAGGCAGAGCUGAGGAAGUCUGUGAGUCCAGGAGGCUUCCGGAAGGCUGCUCAGCACCUGUUCAACAAAGGCGCCAGCCCCCAGGAGCAGAGGGAAAUGGGCAAGUGCCCGGGGCUCUCGACCGGGCGGGAUCAGUCAAGCAUGGCAUCGAUAGUGGAACAAAGGUACAAACCAGAUUUAUGUGUUUUAAACAGGGAGGACUCUCAAAAUGUGCUGUGGAGUAAAAAAGUGCAAGUUGCCAAACCACGUGUGGUGCAGGAUGCCAACUAUGUGAAAACAUUUCCACAGAAACAAUACAAUCCGUUUUGUGUAGGUGUACAUAUAAAUAAAGGAAUGGAAAUGUCUACAUUCUUAAAAGUUCUGGAGCAUAUGUAUCAAACCCUAAAGAGUAGUUACCCCUGGGGAGUGGAGAGGGAGACAGGGAGUGAAGGUGACAGGGAAAGAAACUUGAGAUUUAUCAGUAAUAUUUUAAUUUUUUAAAGAAAGUUCACUUAUGUAUGUAAUUAAACUUAUUUUUAAAACUCUAACCGUUGGUGUAAAGGCAAAGCAUAGGGUUAGAGUUUGAGGAGAACGAAGCCCUGCUCCAGUCCUCGAUACUCCAUGCCCGUAGGGCCGUUCUUUAACUGCCUGCCUUUGGUUAUUGCCUGGGUGAAAUGGGCAUAAAAACAUAGUGACUCCAGAGGGCUUCCCAAAGAACUAAGUGGCCUGGUCGACGGAGAUAUACAUAUGCUAGUUAUAAGUAGCAUUUUGUGUUUAAAAACAAUUUAGAGUCUCUAUAAAGACAGACUCAAAAUAAAAUCCAAUGUCUCUCCCCAAGGACAGAAAAAAGAGAGUGGCCACGAAGGAGCCGCCUUGAGUCUACUGAGAGCAGGUCAUGUCAGACUAACGUUACUUCCUCUGUUCACAGGAGGAGGGAAGGGCAAGAAGCAAACACUUAUGAUGGCUUUCCAGUGACUCCAGCUCUGUGCUGGGUGUCCUCAGAGUUCCCACCACCCCGAGAGGUUUCUCGGGGCAACCUGAACCAGGUUUGGUGAGGUUAGGAAACUCGCCUCCGGGGGACGCUGGGGAUCUGGGUUCAGAUCUAGAUUCAAAUGAUCCCAGGCAGCUAAGGGCCGGAGCAGCAGCAGCAGCAAGGACAACAGCUGCUGCCACCCUGGGCUGUCAUUUGAUCCUCACAAGGAUGGUAAAUUUUUUUACUCACAUUUUACAAGUGAAGAAAAUGAGACAGCAAGAAAGGUUAAGUAGGCCAGCCCAAAGUCACAGGUCUGUCUUGUCCCCAAAUCCGAGGUCUUAACCAUGCCACCCUAUGCCUCUCUCUUCCACCUACACCCGCCCCACACCAGGGAGGCUCUGGCCUCCUCCUCACGGGGAGAUUCUGUCAGAAGCUCUGAAAAGUGGCAACCACCUCUCUAGACUGGGUUAGUGGAUCAGGUUGACUGACGCUGGGGGCAGGGCAUGCGGAAUCCUGUGGGCACCUGGAUUGCAGCCAGGUUUCUGAGCGAGAUGCUCUUCAGGGCCAGGAGGUCAGGAAGGAGACAUGGGAGAUGAAAACUGAUACUGCUUGUUUAGUGGGUUGAAUUGUGUCCGCCAAAAAGAUGUGUUCAAGUCCUCACCCCGGUACCUACGAAUGUGACCUUAUUUGGAAAUGGGGUCUUUGCAGGUGUAAUCUAGUUACGGCGAACUCCUACUGGAUCAAGGUGAGCCCUAAAUCCAGUGACUGGCGUCCUUAUAAGAAGAGGGAAAUUUGGGCACAGAGACUCAAUGAAGACACACACACACAGAGAAGAAGGCCAUGAGAAGAUGGAGGCAGACGUGGAGUGAUGCAGCUACAAGCCAAGGAUGCCAAGGAUUGCCGGCCACCAACAACAGUUAGGGAGACGCCAGGAAGGAUUCUUCCCUAGAGUCUUUGGAGGGAGCGUGGCCCAGCCGAUACCUUGACUUAGGACUUCUGGCCUCCAGAACUGGGAGAGAAUGAAUUUUUGUUGUUUCAAGCCACCCAUGUGUGGCAACAUGUUCUGGCGGCCCUAGGAAACUAACACAGCCCGGUUGCUCCACGGCUGAUUGGGCAAUCCCGGCAUGACCUGUGGGCUUGCGCAGUGGGACAGAGGGCUUCGUCCUUGACCCUAAUUUAUUUUAUUAUCCUCUUGGAUAAAAAUAAAGAGAGUGUCUGCCAAUCAAAUACGUGGAUUAUUCAAAACCUGGAGAGAUGGUGAGUACUGAAGACAGGCUCUAUAUUCAAAAACAUCUCAAUGAACUGCAAUAAUGGGUCACAUUUUAUAAACUGAAACUUAACUAGGACAAAGUUUUUAAUUUAGGUUCAAAGAACUAACUGCAUGAAUGUGGAAUGGGGAACCUCUGGCUUAAUGACAGCUCAUAUAAUAAAAGGUGUUGGCCACAGCUGAGUACGAGCCAACAAUGCAUUGCAGUCAUUAAAAAAAGCUAGUGCACAUUUAAGGUGCUCCACUGACAAGGAGAAAUGAGACCAGCACCCCGUAGGUCGCUGAGCUGGUCAGGCCACAUCUGGAGCUUCAAUCAGCUCUGAGUACCUCAUUUUAGAGUUUUGACACUACUCAGCAUCCAGGGAAAGAGAGCCAGGAAAGUGAGGGGUCCAGAAACUGUCAUGCAAAGAAAAUCGGGGUGGGUCGGGGGCGGCCCUGAGGAGUAGUGGUUAAGUUUGCACACUCUGCUUCAGCAGCCCAGGGUUCACAGGUUCAGAUCCCAGGCAUGGACCUACACAUCACUCAUCAAGCUAUGUUGUGGCAGUGUCCCACAUAAAAAAUCGAGGAAGAUUGGCACAGAUGUUAGCUCAGGGCCAAUCUUUCUCACAAAAAAGAAAGAAAGAAAAUCAGGGGAUCUAGGCUUAUUUCCCCUGGAGAUGAGAAGACAUGGGAACCUGGGACAUGUCUUUAAAUGCUGAAUGGCUCUCAUGAAGGAGAGGAAAUAGGCCAAUUGUAUAGUGUUCCAGAAGAUUCCUAACCAGUGGCUCCUGCACUGAUGAUGGCAAGCAGCAGUCUCAUUCUUCAGCAGAGGGGACACUGUUGAUUUUGCAGCAUUAAUUCUCUCUUUUUCUGAUAACAGCACCCAGAUUUCCUUUGUGAGACCACUCCACCCCCACUUUGUCCAUGGUUCCAGGGGUGGGCAAAUGACUCAGACUUAGCCCCUCAGAGAGCUCUAUCCCUUUGCCCACACCAACCUGUUCAGGGAUGGGCACACGGCCCAAGCCAGAUCAAUGAGUGACUAUCCCGGGCAUUUUGUCAUAAUUACCAGGCAGAGACUGUCUCCUUUCAUUAGGAUCACAAAGCUGGUAGGAUAGAAACCUGGAGGUGCUGGAGGCCAGCUUGCCAACAAGUGAGAUGAACCUGCUUGAGAAUGAAGUCAACACAGGAAAUAGAGCCAAGAAAUGGAGGCAGAAAGAUCUCUACUGGCACCUUGUGAACACCUGGAUCCAGCCAUGACUGAAGCUUGUUUGUGACAUGACACAGUACAAUCUCCUUUUAUGCUUUUACUAGUUUGAGGUGAGGCUUUGUCAUUUGCAAUCAACUGUCCUAAGACAUCACACCCACCUGUAAGGAUAGCAAGCUGUCUGAUAAUGUCAUCCAGAAGGAUCUGUAAUAGUUAACAUUUACUGAGAAACUUCCUUUUUCAUAUUUGAGGAAGAUUGGCCCUGAGCUAACAUCUGUUGCCAAUCUUCAUCUUUUUUUUCUCCCCAAAGCCCCAGUACAUAGUUGUAUAUCCUAGUUGCAAGUCCUUCUAGUUCUUCUUCUAUUUGGGAUGCUGCCAUAGCAUGGUCUGAUGAGCGGUGUGUAGGGCUACGCCCAGGAUGCGAACUGGUGGACCCCCGCGCUGCCCAAGCAGAACACGCAAACUUAACCAUUACACCACCGGGCCAGCCCCACUGGGCACCUUCUAUAUGUAGAAAUCGUGGUAGAUUUUUAAGUUUAAUUUUUAAUAAAGUUAUACUUGCACAUCGUUUAAUGAGUUGCAUAGUUCUGUAAGACUUGUUAUGUAGAACAACUGUCUUUUGCAACUCAGACCCCAUUUCCCACUCCUGAGGCAAUUACUUACAACAUUUUCAGCUUGUUCUUUACCUAUUGACUUCUCACUGUGAAAGAUUAGGAUUUAGCUCAUUUUCACUCUCUGUGUCCCCACCACACAGCACACUUCCCAACCUCCUUCCUCCUCAUUUAAUUAUGUUGUAACUUUGUUUGGAUCAAUAUUCACUAUUUAUAUUUUCGACUUUGUAAACUCUAUUCACAGCUCGUGCAGGAUACUACAACUACUCUUCCUGCACAACACUUUGUUUUUGCUAGAGUUAAUAAUUGUCCUACUUUUUUCAUUUGCUAAGUAUUCUAUGUAUUUGCUACUAAUUCAACCCCAAAAUCUCCCUCGUGUGUGUAAAUCUCCAGUCAAUAUGUUCAAAACCUUAGGUGGCUUGUCAGUUGCAUCUUCCUGAACAGCCUGUCCCAGAGCCUCGCGUCUGCUCCAGCCUGGACAGAGCCCCCUCCAGGCCUUGGCCCCAGCUGUUAUCCUGGGGUCUCCCCUCACCAUCAACUAGACAGUCCCUUUGCUCCUUCUUUUAUUGGCUCUUGGUUUCUGGAUCCUGUUCCUUCUUCUUUCUUGGUUUACUCUCUUGUUUUGACAGUGCACAUCCUCAAGCAGCUUCCUGAGAAAGUGGUUCAUGGGAGGUAAAUUUUUGAGAUCCUCUCAAAAAUGUUUCGCUCUCACUCGUAAUUGCUGGAGGCUGGAUAUCAUUUUCCCUCAGUAUUUUGAAGAUCUUGUGCCAUUGUGUUCUCGCUUCCAGGGCAGCUGUUGAGAAGCCUGGUGUCAUUCUGAUUCUGGAUCCGUUGUAUGAAACCUGUCAUUCUGCUUUUGUUUGGUUUUGCUUCCUCAAAACUUAUAGGAUCUUCUCCUUGUCCCCAGAGAGCUGCUCCAGCAGAUCUAAAGAUGACCGAGUCAGUCCCCAAGGAGCUCCAAGGCCAAUGGAGAAGAGGUGGACUGGUUAUCUGUUGCCAUGUAACAAAUUACCCCAAAAGUUAGAGGCUGAAAACAACAAACAUUUGUUAUCUCACGGCUUCUACAGGUCAGGAAUCUGGGUGCAUUUAUCCAGGGGCCUCUAACUCAGAGUGUCCCAUGACAAAACCAACCAAGUGGUGACUGGGCCGGCAGUCACCUCAGAGGCUUGACUGGGGAGCAUUUGCUUGCCAGUCACUCAUGUGGCAGCUGACUUAUCUCAAGUCCUUGCUGACUGUUGGCUAGAGACAUCUGGUCCCUGCCACAUGAGCCCCUCCAAAGAACUACUCCAAAAUGGUGGUUUGCUUCCUUCAGAGUGAGGGGGAGAGAGAGGGAGGAACUGAAUCAGAAGCCACAGUCUUUUUGUAACCAAUCUUAGAAGUGACAUCCCUUAACUUCUACCAUAUUCUUGUCAUUAGAAGGGAGUCAAUGAGCCCAACUCACCCUCAAGGGGAGGGCAUUAGGCAGGAGAAAUACCAAGAGAUAGGGAUCAUUGAGAACCAUCCUAUUAGAGGUUGCCUAGCCCAACAGGCGAAUGGGAUUAGCAAAUGGAGAGCGCCAAGAGAGGAAAGUGCCGGCUGUUGCAGGAGCUCAGGAAAAGAAAUGCCAGCCUCUGCCUGAGGAGAUCAGAGAGGGCUUCCCAGAAGCAGCAGCUUCUGGUUGAGACUUGACUGAGUAGGAGAUAUCCCACGUGGACCUGGGGGUAGAAGAGCAUCCCAGGCAAAGAAAAAGUAUGUGCAAAAGCCAGAGGCAGACAAGGCUUGGUGGGCUCUGGAGCAGCACAGCAAAGCACGGAGUGGGGGGGUGAGAUGUGACGCUGGAGUGGGCAAGGCCAGCUCCUGAGGGACUCGCUUGCUCUCCACAGAAGUUGGUGCUUUAUCUUGGAGGCUCUGGGGAGCCAUGACUAGCUUUCAGGGGAGUGAGAUGGCCAGGUUUGUGGUUUAGUACACUCCGUAGUUGCCAGCUAAGUGGAGGAGAACUGGAGGAGCAGAGGUGGGAGGCAGGGGACCAGGGAGGAGGCUGUGGCAGGUGUCCAAGUGAAUGUGGGGGGCUGAUCUACGGCAAGGUAAAGGUGACCAAUGGGACUUUUACACUGUCACUGAAAAGGCAUCCAGCCUGUCUGGGAGCCAGGUGAAUGGAAAGAAGGGAGGGAGGGAGGAAGAAACAGGUAUGAAUGGAAGGAGGUCCGGUGCAGCCCAGAGCGGCCUCCAGGGUUGCCUGUUGACUGGUGAGGCAAAUGGCGAGCAGGCGGGGUCUUGCUCCUGCAUUAUGGAAAAGUUGGCAGGGUUGGGUGGUAACCUUGGGAGACUGGGAAGAAAGGUCGAGGUGGAGAUCUCAGCCGCCAUUUUGGGUCCCUGGUUUGGCCCCAGGAGGUCCAUCUCUAAGUCUCGUUGAUUACUCUUCCUCCACACCUCUUAGAGGCCCUCCCAUCUGUGGCGUGCAGCCAAGGCUUAGCUUCAGACCCGGGGCUUAGAACUCUGCAGGCACUUCUCGAACCCUCCCUCAAACCCAUCCUAGCAGCCUUCAGAGCUAGGCCCACCUUCGCCAUUCUGAAGCUCAUGGAAGACCUUAAGAACUUGAACUAACUUCCUGUCGCUAAUCUACCAGCCUCAUCACCCCACCCCUUCUCUACGUGACUGUGAGCAGGUGAGUCACUUCUCAGCUUCCGUCUAUAAAAUGAGAGAGUGGGACCAGCUGCUCCCCGCUGUCCCUGCCCACGCUGGCUUGCUGGGAUUCCAUCUCCCACCCACCGCUCUGGGUUGUGUGGGCUCUGGGCUGUUUCUGUAACAUGCAUUCCAGCCACCCUGAUGGCUGUCUGCAUUCCCUCCUUCUGUCUGCUCAGGCCUGCCCGGAGGAGCCAUAGAGACUGCAAUGAGCUCAGCUCCUCAUCUUAACUCUGCAAAACUUUUUUGAGGUUUGGUCUUGUUCGCAGCAGAGCACAGUACUAGGACCAGGCUGUCCUGGCCUGGCACCUGCCCAGCACGCCAGGAACCAGACAGAGCCUUCCAGAAGUCAUAUAGUCCAUCCGCCUGCCCUGGGCAGGACUACGUUAUUCAUCAGAGAUAAUCUUUAAAUAAAUAGGGAAGAAAACUUUACACCUUCGUGGUAAUGUGUUGAUAUUUUGCAGACCCUCAAUGUGAGUUCUUUCUUCCUUCUAGCCUAAAUCCUUCAGGAAUCCUUAAAACAGAACAAAGCUACAUUCUAAGGGCUCCUGGAUAGAAGACCCAGGGUGGGUCCUGCCCUACUCAGCUUCAGCUUUCCCCCUCCUGAAGUGGGGGCUCAGGCCUCCAGAUAGGAAGGGGACCCCAUCUUUUUAUCUCCUGCCCUCUCUGGCUAGGCUUAAUCCACACCUGCCUGGGGACAGAGUUCCAGUUGCCCUUGGCACGCAGAAGGUGGAGGAUGUUAUGUAACUGGUCUUGACCAGACAUUCUGGUUCUGCAGGUAGAGUGUGCAAGUUAAAAAUUGUUUUAAAAAUGCAGUGCUGCUGCCCAAACACACAGUCCUAGGGCAGGAGGCCAGGGGCCGAGGCCACGCGCAGCAGACAGAUGUGUUUUCUGCAGGGACUUUGGGCCCAGCGCUGUGACACCAAGGGAACAUCAAACUCAGGGACCAGUGGCACAAGCCUGCUCCCCAGAAACAGGUUUUGUGCCUAACACCCUCUGAACUGUUUUCUCUAGAACCUGUGCUGCUCCCCCUGCCUCCCCCUCUGGCUCUGCCUCCUCCAUAAUCACGUCUAGUCUCCACCGGCAUCUGCACUGGGGUCUCUCUUUUUUGACGUCUUGUUCCCUUUCCACACUUUUAGGCACCUCUAACCUUCCCCUACUUCUUCUUUUCUGGUCCCUUCUUUCUUUUCUUCUUUUUUCCCUCCUUUCUCCACUCCCCUCUACCCACUGAGUAAUGGGGAUGGGAAUUCCUCAUCCCGUCCUUAAACUCUUCCCCUCGCCCUAAGCCUCUGGGAGUUGGCGUAGUGGAAGGAGGCAGCCUCUGGUCCCUCCUUCUGCCACCUUGGGGGAGUCCCUUCACCUCUCUGGGCCUCUGUGAGAUGGAGACAAUAAUAUCCACUUCACCUUCUGCUUCACAACAUAGUUGUGAGAUUCAAAAGAGGCGACACUGACUGUUG
Long non-coding RNA from Equus caballus (horse), 8587 nucleotides. The record is from Ensembl. Lineage: Eukaryota; Metazoa; Chordata; Mammalia; Perissodactyla; Equidae.